This 804-nucleotide ribosomal RNA is filed under the name Staphylococcus sp. KSUM_44. RNAcentral's name for it is "bacterial SSU rRNA". It matches the Rfam family "Bacterial small subunit ribosomal RNA", at positions 27 to 813 of the family's 1533-position model. Lineage: Bacteria; Bacillati; Bacillota; Bacilli; Caryophanales; Staphylococcaceae. The record is from RNAcentral.
GGAUGAACGCUGGCGGCGUGCCUAAUACAUGCAAGUCGAGCGAACGGACGAGAAGCUUGCUUCUCUGAUGUUAGCGGCGGACGGGUGAGUAACACGUGGAUAACCUACCUAUAAGACUGGGAUAACUUCGGGAAACCGGAGCUAAUACCGGAUAAUAUUUUGAACCGCAUGGUUCAAAAGUGAAAGACGGUCUUGCUGUCACUUAUAGAUGGAUCCGCGCUGCAUUAGCUAGUUGGUAAGGUAACGGCUUACCAAGGCAACGAUGCAUAGCCGACCUGAGAGGGUGAUCGGCCACACUGGAACUGAGACACGGUCCAGACUCCUACGGGAGGCAGCAGUAGGGAAUCUUCCGCAAUGGGCGAAAGCCUGACGGAGCAACGCCGCGUGAGUGAUGAAGGUCUUCGGAUCGUAAAACUCUGUUAUUAGGGAAGAACAUAUGUGUAAGUAACUGUGCACAUCUUGACGGUACCUAAUCAGAAAGCCACGGCUAACUACGUGCCAGCAGCCGCGGUAAUACGUAGGUGGCAAGCGUUAUCCGGAAUUAUUGGGCGUAAAGCGCGCGUAGGCGGUUUUUUAAGUCUGAUGUGAAAGCCCACGGCUCAACCGUGGAGGGUCAUUGGAAACUGGAAAACUUGAGUGCAGAAGAGGAAAGUGGAAUUCCAUGUGUAGCGGUGAAAUGCGCAGAGAUAUGGAGGAACACCAGUGGCGAAGGCGACUUUCUGGUCUGUAACUGACGCUGAUGUGCGAAAGCGUGGGGAUCAAACAGGAUUAGAUACCCUGGUAGUCCACGCCGUAAACGAUGAG